GCUUGGGCCAGAGUGGUGCGGGCGGCGCGUGGCGGAGUUCCUCACGUGGUGGCUUUCUCACGCUAGCCCUCUUUGGUCCUCCUUGACGUCCCGAGCCUGUGGGCCCGCUUCUUGCCGAGAUGCCGAAGGUCAAGUCGGGGGCCAUCGGCCGCCGCCGCGGGCGGCAGGAGCAGCGCCGGGAGCUGAAGAGCGCUGGAGGACUCAUGUUCAACACGGGGAUUGGGCAGCACAUUUUGAAAAAUCCUCUCAUUAUUAACAGCAUUAUCGAUAAGGCUGCCUUAAGACCAACUGAUGUAGUGCUGGAAGUUGGACCUGGAACUGGCAACAUGACUGUAAAGUUGUUAGAAAAGGCAAAAAAGGUUGUUGCUUGUGAACUUGACCCAAGGCUAGUAGCUGAACUUCACAAAAGAGUUCAGGGCACGUGAGUAUACAUAAUAGAAUUAAAGUGCAUUUCAAUCUCAUGAAACAACAUUCUUUUUACAUUUCUUCUUUUCUCAUCAGGCCUGUGGCCAGCAAACUUCAAGUACUGGUGGGUGAUGUGUUGAAAACAGAUCUGCCAUUCUUUGAUACUUGUGUGGCAAAUUUGCCUUAUCAGAUCUCUUCGCCUUUUGUCUUCAAGCUGUUGCUACAUCGACCUUUUUUCAGGUGUGCUAUACUUAUGUUUCAAAGAGAAUUUGCCCUCCGACUGGUUGCAAAACCUGGAGAUAAGUUAUACUGCAGACUCUCAAUUAAUACACAGCUGUUGGCACGUGUGGACCAUCUAAUGAAAGUUGGAAAGAAUAACUUCAGACCACCGCCCAAGGUGGAAUCCAGUGUUGUAAGGAUAGAACCUAAGAAUCCACCACCACCCAUCAAUUUUCAGGAAUGGGAUGGUCUAGUAAGGAUAACCUUUGUUAGGAAAAACAAGACACUCUCUGCUGCAUUUAAGUAAGUAUUACACUAAUUUUUAAUGUAUAAAGGACCAGUGCUCCAGAUACUAUGCUAGAAUUUGGUCCUUUUCCUGAGCAUACCCUGAAGCAUAAAGAUUAUGGGUCCAGAC
Molecule: small RNA, 1039 nt
Filed under: Pongo abelii (Sumatran orangutan)
Lineage: Eukaryota; Metazoa; Chordata; Mammalia; Primates; Hominidae
Description: retained intron
Source: RNAcentral